AGAGUUUGAUCCUGGCUCAGAGCGAACGCUGGCGGCAUGCUUAGCCCAUGCAAGUCGCACGGUUCGGGCUUCGGUUCGGGCAGUGGCGGACGGGUGAGUAUCGCGUAGGGAUUUAUCGUUGGGUGGGGGAUAACCGCGGGAAACUGCGGCUAAUACCGCAUGACGCCUGUGGGCCAAAGGCAGCAAUGGCCUGAUGAGGAGCCUGCGUCCGAUUAGCUAGUUGGUUGGGUAAUGGCUGACCAAGGCUGUGAUCGGUAGCUGGUCUGAGAGGAUGAUCAGCCACACUGGGACUGAGACACGGCCCAGACUCCUACGGGAGGCAGCAGUGGGGAAUAUUGGACAAUGGGCGCAAGCCUGAUCCAGCAAUGCCGCGUGGAUGAAGAAGGUCUUCGGAUUGUAAAGUCCUUUCGGCGGGGACGAAUUGAUGACGGUACCCGCAGAAGAAGCCCCGGCUAACUUCGUGCCAGCAGCCGCGGUAAUACGAAGGGGGCUAGCGUUGCUCGGAAUGACUGGGCGUAAAGGGCGCGUAAGCGGUCAGGUAAGUUACUUGUGAAAUCUCCGAGCUUAACUCGGAACGGCCAAGUAAUACUGCCAAACUAGAGUGCAGAAGGGGCAAUUGGAAUUCUUGGUGUAGCGGUGAAAUGCGUAGAUAUCAAGAGGAACACCAGAGGCGAAGGCGAAUUGCUGGGCUGACACUGACGCUGAGAUAUGAAAGCUAGGGGAGCAAACAGGAUUAGAUACCCUGGUAGUCCUAGCCUUAAACGAUGGAUGCUUGGUGUCUGGAGUUACAGUCUCCGGUGCCGUCGCUAACGCUUUUAGCAUCCCGCCUGGGGAGUACGCACGCAAGUGUGAAACUCAAAGGAAUUGACGG
RNAcentral lists this ribosomal RNA (871 nucleotides) under uncultured soil bacterium. Its description in RNAcentral is "bacterial SSU rRNA". It matches the Rfam family "Bacterial small subunit ribosomal RNA", at positions 8 to 916 of the family's 1533-position model. The record is from RNAcentral.